UAGGGAAUAUUGGUCAAUGGGGGCAACCCUGAACCAGCCAUGCCGCGUGCGGGAAGAAGGCGUUCUGCGUUGUAAACCGCUUUUAUACAGGAAGAAAAUGCUAUGCGUAGUACUAUGACGGUACUGUAUGAAUAAGCACCGGCUAACUCCGUGCCAGCAGCCGCGGUAAUACGGAGGGUGCGAGCGUUGUCCGGAAUUAUUGGGUUUAAAGGGUGCGUAGGCGGUCUUUUAAGUCAGAGGUGAAAUCCCACAGCUCAACUGUGGAACUGCCUUUGAUACUGGAAGACUUGAGUAUAGUAGAGGUAGGCGGAAUUGAAGGUGUAGCGGUGAAAUGCAUAGAUAUCUUCAAG
This 350-nucleotide ribosomal RNA is filed under the name uncultured bacterium. Its description in RNAcentral is "bacterial SSU rRNA". It matches the Rfam family "Bacterial small subunit ribosomal RNA", at positions 355 to 704 of the family's 1533-position model. The record is from RNAcentral.